CCUUGAUUCUCCCUUGCGUCGAUC
Molecule: non-coding RNA, 24 nt
Filed under: Arabidopsis thaliana (thale cress)
Lineage: Eukaryota; Viridiplantae; Streptophyta; Magnoliopsida; Brassicales; Brassicaceae
Source: RNAcentral